UACGUAGGGGGCAAGCGUUGUCCGGAUUUAUUGGGCGUAAAGAGCGUGUAGGCGGCCGCACAGGUCCGUUGUGAAAACUGGAGGCUUAACCUCCAGACGUCGAUGGAAACCGUGCGGCUAGAGUCCGGAAGAGGAGAAUGGAAUUCCUGGUGUAGCGGUGAAAUGCGCAGAUAUCAGGAAGAACACCGAUGGCGAAGGCAGCUCUCUGGGACGGUACUGACGCUGAGACGCGAAAGCGUGGGGAGCGAACAGG
RNAcentral lists this ribosomal RNA (253 nucleotides) under uncultured bacterium. Its description in RNAcentral is "partial 16S ribosomal RNA". It matches the Rfam family "Bacterial small subunit ribosomal RNA", at positions 524 to 776 of the family's 1533-position model. The record is from RNAcentral.